RNAcentral lists this ribosomal RNA (254 nucleotides) under uncultured bacterium. RNAcentral describes it as "partial 16S ribosomal RNA". It matches the Rfam family "Bacterial small subunit ribosomal RNA", at positions 524 to 777 of the family's 1533-position model. The record is from RNAcentral.
UACAGUGGGGGCAAGCGUUAUUCGGAAUUAUUGGGCGUAAAGGGCGCGUAGGCGGCCUGGCAAGUGGAAGGUGAAAUCCCUCGGCUUAACCGAGGAACUGCCCUCCAAACUGCUUGGCUUGAGACCGGGAGAGGUGAGUGGAAUUCCCAGUGUAGCGGUGAAAUGCGUAGAUAUUGGGAGGAACACCAGUGGCGAAGGCGGCUCACUGGACCGGUACUGACGCUGAGGCGCGAAAGCGUGGGGAGCAAACGGGG